This 481-nucleotide unclassified non-coding RNA is filed under the name Hevea brasiliensis (rubber tree). Lineage: Eukaryota; Viridiplantae; Streptophyta; Magnoliopsida; Malpighiales; Euphorbiaceae. The record is from RNAcentral.
GCUGGGUAAAGGCCAACCUCUUCAGCAGCAGCUUCACUUAACUCUUUCUCAAGCAUUUCAACUUCGGAUUUCAAUUGGACUUUGUUGUCAGAAUGGUGGUUUGUUGUCUUUUGUUUUUCACUUGAUAUGUAAUUUAAAUCACCUUUGUGAAAAUUUUCGGGAACACCAAUUUUGUUUGCCGUCUUCACGAACUCUAUAUUGUUGAAGGGUUCAUCACUUUCAGCUAUAUGAAACUGUUGUUGAACAGACUUCAGACGCUUUAAUUUAUCUCUACGUGUAUUUCCCUGCACUGCAUUUGACAUCCUGUUGGAUGCAAGGGUAUUACUCCUUAAAUUGACUUGUCUUUUCAUAGGUUCUUGAGGUAACCUACCAACAGAUUGUUCCUCCUCUAAACUAUGAUUCUUUAACACCAUCAGAUCCUCUUCCUGUCUACUAUCUUCGUUCUUUUUGAGUUUAUCUUCCAUAAGACCAACUUGUAAAU